Long non-coding RNA from Microplitis mediator, 2623 nucleotides. RefSeq lists it as uncharacterized. The record is from RefSeq and is a predicted model, not a curated record. Lineage: Eukaryota; Metazoa; Arthropoda; Insecta; Hymenoptera; Braconidae. The transcript has 7 exons.
GUGUACCUGAAAAAAAAAAAACUGAUUAAUUUUCGUGUAAUCAGUUAAAUAAAUAUAUUUAUUUAUUCGGUCGUCAAAUAAAUUACAGUUAUAAAUUUUAUCAGGCAGACAUACCAAGGAACAUCCGACUGUUUGACUUCCUCGGGACUCCUUUCAUUGUUCUCUGGGUCAUUUACCUAUCGGUACAUCACAUGAAUAUUUAAAUUAACAUUCGGCAAUUGGUAUACAAGUGAAGCGAUAGAAAAAAUUCAAUAGAUAUUAUAAUUAAAAUAAAUGUGCAGUGUAUCAAUUUCCUGUGUGUGUAUGAGUAAGAAAAAAAAAAUAAUAAAUAAAAUAUGUAGACCAGGGUCAAAGUGUAUUUAGAACGAUGAUCGAAGGCUUCACCUCGCCCUGGAAUCAUCACGAUGUCAUCAACUACAACUAACCAUUGCCCUCAAUAUCCUGUACUAGUCCCUAGACAAUAAUUCCAUUGUGAUAGAAGAUGAUGAUGGAUGAUGAUGAUGAUGAUGAUAAUAAAGUGAAGGAUCAUGUCAAUGAGCCACUACUAAAUUAUAAAUCUUUCAAUAUAGUGUCUUCAUUAAGAAAACAUUAAAUAUAUGAGUUAUCAAUGCCAACUACCCAAGGCAAUUUAUUUUCUUUAUAAAUUAAAACGUAAACCUUGGAGUCAUAUUUUAUAUAUAUGGAAAUAAAUAUUGAUUAUUAUUUUUCUAAUUUAGUCUCUUCUCUAAAUACCACCAGCUUGCCGAGACUUCACUUCUGACAAGUGCCCAGAUAUCUCAUAUUUUAUCUCAAUAGUUUUGUUUUUUUUUGACGUUGCCUUAACGGAAGAACUUCUUGCUGAUGAACUCAUCCAAAAGUGGAGGUCUAAAAAAAUCUACUAAAGAUAUUUUUUAUGCGCCGUCUGUUUUUCUUGUUCGAUAAUUGGAGUCUAUUGUUGAUAAUUAUUUGCUAUCAAUUACUAAUAAAUAUAAUCUUACUAUCGGAGCAUUCAGUUCCUGUCGAGACUUCACUAGUCAAGGGUAAAAUAAAUUAUUCAAAUAAAAAAAAAAAUGCGGGAAUUUUAAAAACACCGGUUAUAAUUUUAGUUCAAAAAUAUUUUAUAGAAGUUGAAAAAAACAAAAUAAAAAAUGUAGGAAAUGAAAAAUGAAUAAUUUAAAAUUAGUUGUAGAAUUUGUGAGAGACAGAGAUGAAUUGUACUCUUUUCCUCUAGAGAAGUGCUGCCUAGAUGACUUCCUGUGAAUUACCGAGGCGAGAUGAUAAUAUUAGGCGGAGGUUUUAAGUAUCAAGAACACGAGAUUGGGAGAGAUAAAAUAAAAUUUAGUUAAAAGAAUCUGCACGUAAAUAUGUCGUAAGAUGUGAGAUGACUUAGACAUUAAGGUACGAGGUCUAUAAAAAAAUUUAAAAAAAAAGUCCAUAAUUCGCGUUAUUACAAAGGCCACGUGGUGAUGACACAAGAAAAAUUAAUAUUGUUUUCUCAAUGUUAAACGUAUGCCUGUAUAAUUUAAUUGUAGAGAUGACUAGGAUUAUAUGGAUUCCAGUUACCUGAGAGUAUUGACACAUAGAACUGAUCUAAUUUUUAAAAUCAUAUUCAAGAUCCUAAGAAGAUAUUACACAUGAAACAUGAAUAAAAUAAUAACAGCGUAUUACUCACCUUGUAUCGCAUCUUUGUGUGUUAAUGCUGUCUCUCAAUCUCGAUUUAAAUUCAAACGUACUCGCUGUUGUGUAUUAUCUGCAACUAGUAAUGUGCAAAUCACUUGUCUAGAACAAAAGCAAGUACACAUCUAUUAGCUAGCAUCUAUUAGACUGCACACCGCUAAACUUUACCAAGUACAAUUGCAUUUAAUGUGUACACACAAGCCUUUAAUUUUAUUAUAUUACUAUACAUUGGGUUCUCUUACGCUGAUUCACGCAUUAAUUUAUUUAGCGUCUAAUGUCAUUAAAAUACGAGCAACAGAUAUACGAUUAAGAAGCUCGAGGUUUUUCAAUUUUUAUUUUAUUCUUCUAUCCAUUCGUUCAUUCAUCAAUCCAUUGAUUAAUUAAUUAAAUUAAUAACCAAUAGUGAUAAAUUUAAUGAGGACAAAUUAGCCGGUUUAAUUAUCAAAGGUUUUAUGGAGAAAUUUAUACGGAAGCUAUUAAUUAUUUUAUAUGAAAAUAUUAUUACUAAAAAAAAAUAUAAUUUGCUACGUCAUUAAUAUGUUUAAUCAGUGUGUCUAUUCAAUUUUAAAUGGUUGUACUUUUGAAAAUAAAUAACAACAGUAGUCUAUAGGAUUUCACUUUGCUGAUGGGCAUGAGGAUCAUAAUCAACGACGCGCGUCCCGAUGAGUUUUGCUCUCGAAAGCAUCAACACGCUGGACUUUUAAAUGCUAAUAAUAAUGCCGACUUAUAAUAGACAUAUUUAUGUACAUAUACAUGUGCAAAUAAAUAUAAAAUAUGUUAUGUACACACAUGUAUAUAAAUAUAUUUAUGUAUAUGAUUUUAUUUUGUAAAAAACAUACAUUUAGUGUUGAUUAUAAGUGUGUCAGUAAGAUCGAGUGAUAGGACAGAAAUAAUAAAUUGCAAUGCAUGGAAAAACCGGCUGAUAUAAAUUUAUUUAUCGGUAGUAUCUACAAAACUGCUGUGUUAC